UGAAUGAAAGCUUGCUUUCAUUCGGUUAGCGGCGGACGGGUGAGUAACACGUGGGCAACCUGCCCGUAAGACCGGGAUAACUUCGGGAAACCGGAGCUAAUACCGGAUAACACCGAAGAUCGCAUGAUCUUUGGUUGAAAGGCGGCUUUGGCUGUCACUUACGGAUGGGCCCGCGGCGCAUUAGCUAGUUGGUGAGGUAACGGCUCACCAAGGCGACGAUGCGUAGCCGACCUGAGAGGGUGAUCGGCCACACUGGGACUGAGACACGGCCCAGACUCCUACGGGAGGCAGCAGUAGGGAAUCUUCCGCAAUGGACGAAAGUCUGACGGAGCAACGCCGCGUGAGCGAAGAAGUCUUCGGAUUGUAAAGCUCUGUUGUUAGGGAAGAACAAGUACCGUUCGAAGAGGGCGGUACCGUGACGUACCUAACGAGAAAGCCACGGCUAACUACGUGCCGCAGCCGCGGUAAUACGUAGUGGCAAGCGUUGUCCGGAAUUAUUGGGCGUAAAGCGCGCGC
This 516-nucleotide ribosomal RNA is filed under the name uncultured Bacillaceae bacterium. Its description in RNAcentral is "bacterial SSU rRNA". It matches the Rfam family "Bacterial small subunit ribosomal RNA", at positions 69 to 572 of the family's 1533-position model. The record is from RNAcentral. Lineage: Bacteria; Bacillati; Bacillota; Bacilli; Caryophanales; Bacillaceae.